UCACCAACUCGACCAGCUUCACUCGCUGUUGAGUCCUCUCUGGAUGAGGCAUCAGCUGAGUUGCCAACACAUCUGAAACUGCGCCAGUCGAGCUGAAGCUUGAGGACUCAGCACUAAGAGAUCCCACACUGGCGAGUGAGCUACUCUCUGAAUUGCUCCCUGCUGACAUGAACGAGCUGUUGAGCAUUCUUCAGAGGAGAUGAGGAGAGG
Molecule: long non-coding RNA, 210 nt
Filed under: Elaeis guineensis (African oil palm)
Lineage: Eukaryota; Viridiplantae; Streptophyta; Magnoliopsida; Arecales; Arecaceae
Description: long non-coding RNA (EGUI_LNC062000)
Source: RNAcentral